This 460-nucleotide ribosomal RNA is filed under the name uncultured bacterium. RNAcentral describes it as "partial 16S ribosomal RNA". It matches the Rfam family "Bacterial small subunit ribosomal RNA", at positions 338 to 795 of the family's 1533-position model. The record is from RNAcentral.
CCUACGGGUGGCAGCAGUGAGGAAUAUUGGUCAAUGGACGAGAGUCUGAACCAGCCAAGUAGCGUGAAGGAUGACUGCCCUAUGGGUUGUAAACUUCUUUUAUAUGGGAAUAAAAUGUUCCACGUGUGGGAUUUUGUAUGUACCAUAUGAAUAAGGAUCGGCUAACUCCGGGCCAGCAGCCGCGGUAAUACGGAGGAUCCGAACGUUAUCCGGAUUUAUUGGGUUUAAAGGGAGCGUAGGUGGAUUGUUAAGUCAGUUGUGAAAGUUUGCGGCUCAACCGUAAAAUUGCAGUUGAAACUGGCAGUCUUGAGUACAGUAGAGGUGGGCGGAAUUCGUGGUGUAGCGGUGAAAUGCUUAGAUAUCACGAAGAACUCCGAUUGCGAAGGCAGUUCACUGGACUGCAACUGACACUGAGGCUCGAAAGUGUGGGUAUCAAACAGGAUUAGAUACCCCUGUAGUC